UGAGGAAUAUUGGUCAAUGGGCGCGAGCCUGAACCAGCCAAGUAGCGUGAAGGAUGAAGGUCCUACGGAUUGUAAACUUCUUUUAUACGGGAAUAAAGUGGUCCACGUGUGGAUUUUUGCAUGUACCGUAUGAAUAAGCAUCGGCUAACUCCGUGCCAGCAGCCGCGGUAAUACGGAGGAUGCGAGCGUUAUCCGGAUUUAUUGGGUUUAAAGGGAGCGCAGACGGGGGAUUAAGUCAGUUGUGAAAGUUUGCGGCUCAACCGUAAAAUUGCAGUUGAUACUGGUUCCCUUGAGUGCAGUUGAGGCAGGCGGAAUUCGUGGUGUAGCGGUGAAAUGCAUAGAUAUCACGAAGAACCCCGAUUGCGAAGGCAGCCUGCUAAGCUGUAACUGACGUUGAGGCUCGAAAGUGUGGGUAUCAAACAGGAUUAGAUACCCUGGUAGUCCACACGGUAAACGAUGAAUACUCGCUGUUUGCGAUAUACGGCAAGCGGCCAAGCGAAAGCGUUAAGUAUUCCACCUGGGGAGUACGCCGGCAACGGUGAAACUCAAAGGAAUUGACGGGGGCCCGCACAAGCGGAGGAACAUGUGGUUUAAUUCGAUGAUACGCGAGGAACCUUACCCGGGCUUAAAUUGCAACCGAAUAUGGCGGAAACGCUAUAGCUAGCAAUAGCGGUUGUGAAGGUGCUGCAUGGUUGUCGUCAGCUCGUGCCGUGAGGUGUCGGCUUAAGUGCCAUAACGAGCGCAACCCUUGCCGAUAGUUACUAACAGGUUAUGCUGAGGACUCUGUCGGGACUGCCAUCGUAAGAUGUGAGGAAGGUGGGGAUGACGUCAAAUCAGCACGGCCCUUACGUCCGGGGCUACACACGUGUUACAAUGGGGGGUACAGAGGGCUGCUACCACGCAAGUGGAUGCCAAUCCCAAAAACCUCUCUCAGUUCGGAUUGAAGUCUGCAACCCGACUUCAUGAAGCUGGAUUCACUAGUAAUCGCGCAUCAGCCACGGCGCGGUGAAUACGUUCCC
This 1019-nucleotide ribosomal RNA is filed under the name uncultured bacterium. RNAcentral's name for it is "bacterial SSU rRNA". It matches the Rfam family "Bacterial small subunit ribosomal RNA", at positions 355 to 1375 of the family's 1533-position model. The record is from RNAcentral.